UAGCGGAAUGGAAUAAGGUGGAAGGGAGUGGAGCAGAGCAGAAGUGAACAAAAUAAAUUAGUCCAUCUAUCAAAACCAACCCUGCUAUCUCUCGUUUUAACAUAUUCCUUCUUUUCAUAUCAUGUUGCAUCUCAGAGGUUUUCCAUACUUCCACGAACUUCCUUCAACCCCAAAAUCUCAUUUUCUUCUUCUCAAACUCAAACCCCAUAAUCAUCCCGCACAUAGAAUGGUUUAAAUCUGAUUCAGUGUGUUUUGAAAUUGGAGAGUGAUUUGGCAUAGAAUGGCAUGGCUCGGCAGAUGCAAUGUUUUUAGAGGUAUUAUUGCAAAUUUGGAGACUUAAGUAAUAAAGUGUCGAAGACAUGGCUCAGGAUGCGCGUUUUGAAGAAAUAAAGUGCCAAAGCUCUGUCAAACUCGCUAAGCGUAAAUUCUAGCGCGCUAUGGCCUGAUUCUCUUUCCCUUUGCAGUAGUUGAAGCUUCGUAAGCUCGCUUAGCACGAUUAUUUCUGUCGUUUAGUGUAAAGUAUUUGUGAAUAGUGUUCAGAUAAGCGAAAGACCGCUUAGCGAGACAUAGCUCGCUUAAUGAGGUUUGCGAGUUCAUAAUUGUAUAUAUGUUGUAAAAUCAUAUUUUGUUAAGUUUUGUCAUCUCUUCUUUGACAAAGAUGAGCUCUGAUCCAUUCUUUGUAGUUUAGAGGUUCCAGCAACAUCAUUGGGUGGCUCAUCAUGUCGAUAGAGCUCGGGUGGUCUUUGAUUUUGCCGACAACACGAGAAGUUUUCAUUUUCUCUUCUUCUUCCCUGUGACCCAUUCCAAUGGUGGGGUUUGUGUGUAUAUUUUUCCUCUCUUGU
Molecule: long non-coding RNA, 842 nt
Organism: Vicia villosa (hairy vetch)
Lineage: Eukaryota; Viridiplantae; Streptophyta; Magnoliopsida; Fabales; Fabaceae
Exons: 3
Source: RefSeq, a predicted model, not a curated record